CUUUGUUUUGGACUUAUCAUCAUGGAAGCCUUGCUUGAAAACAAUUAAAAGAUGGAAGAUUAUGGAACCUUUUCAUUUUAGUGAUGAAAAAACAAGAUGAAUUCAUAUGUGACUGGUAGGAUGCCAAAGCCAGAGAUGACAGCACUUCUGAGGGAAUGAGGGGCAGUAAGGAAGAUAAAAGGCCUGGCCCUUUUCUCAGUAGGCUGACAAUCAUGACAUUGUUUAGUGACAUUUUGUGAUGGGAACAAAAAGGCAACUAGGCGAUGAGGCCAGCAAACUCAUUUCACUUGUAUCCAAUGGAAGCCUCCAGAGGGAAAAGCCAGUGCAUGGCCUGGUGCAUUGCACGAAGAGGGACAAGAGGAGUCUACAAUCUCUUCAAAGUUCUCCUUCCGGCAUCAAUUCUCUCCUAGAAAGAGAUUGCUAGUGUAGUUUUGAAUAUGUCAGAGGUAGUUUCUUCAGCUUUGGUGUUACCAGCACGUCUGAAAAAUCCAAUAGCUCAAUAUGCACACAAGGUAUCUGGGAAGGGAAUUGUUGGCCUUUUGGUGACCUCUGGCACCUGAAACUCUGCUGAUUUAGUAGUUUCCCACAAAAGUGCAAUUUGUGCUGCAGUGUGGUAUAAGCCCGUAAACCCAUCAAGUGUCUUGCACAUUUCAGCUGAAUGGAUUGACAUCCAUAAAAUGAACACUGGAAUGUACACUCAGUUCUCUCUUUCUACAUUAAAACACUGCAUUUAGCUGUGAGGAGCCUUUUUCAGACUCCAUAUAAUUUAUCAUAAAACCAGCCUCAUAUUCUGCUUUGGAAGUGAGGAACCUAUAUUAAUUAAUUGUUAUGCAGAUCUUAUGUUCCAUUUAUAGCCCAUAGGAUUUUAGGAUUUAGUAAUGGGUGAAAACUGGGCAUUUGUGUUCACCUCCGCAGCCUCCACGUAACAUUCAAAAUUAGUCAAAUUUAUUCCUCCAGGGAUUUACUGUUUUACCCCAUGCUCCAGGACAAACUGCCCCACUCUGAUUAGAAAAACUGUUCUACUCCAUAGGAGUAUUAUCUGAGCAUUAGUGCAGUGUAUUUUGUUUCCACUUGAUAAAUUACUUACACAUUAGGUGCUCCAUACAGUAGGUCCUGUAAUUCUUGUUAUGUUUAAGGUACUUUGUGAUACACGGGAGAUAAUUAACUUGCACCAUUUUAGUGCAAAAAUAUAUGUUGAUCUAGGUCACAUGACAAAUGUAACCAUUCAGAGUUUAAAAUACUAUUAUUUAAAAUUUAUUUUCUUCUCAAAAUGGUUUAUGAAAUUAUCAUUUGAAUAAUUCACUGCAUAGUUAGACUAUAUUAUGUGUUGGUUCAGUUCCACAUUUGGUAACAACAGAGCUGAGAUUGCAAUUGCAGUUAAAAUAAAAAUUGAGUGACAGAAAAGAUUUAUUAUAAAUCCUUAUUUUGGGAACUUGAUAACUUUGCUGGUUCAUAUUAGGCUAAACUUCAGAAUAUACACUGACAGCCUUGAUGUAUUUUUUCAGUUAUUUUUAUAAAAUCCAGUAUAAGUCCAUUAAAUCAUUUGUGAGUUUUAGAGCAUUUUAAACUAAACCAAGUAAAUUGUAAAUCUCAUCAAAAUGAGGCACCAAUAGUACUGGCUAGACAAAGAGAGGUAUAGU
This is a long non-coding RNA of Terrapene triunguis (Three-toed box turtle), 1640 nucleotides long. RefSeq lists it as uncharacterized. NCBI's taxonomy places the organism in Eukaryota, Metazoa, Chordata, Testudines, Emydidae. The transcript has 4 exons. The record is from RefSeq and is a predicted model, not a curated record.